Long non-coding RNA from Homo sapiens (human), 1672 nucleotides. NCBI's taxonomy places the organism in Eukaryota, Metazoa, Chordata, Mammalia, Primates, Hominidae. The record is from Ensembl.
GCCCUCGGUGCCUGUGCCCGGGCUGAGGAGACCUUCCUCGACACCCCACGUUAUGUGGGUUUCCGCAAGACCUUCCGCCAUUGCCUGGGCUUUGAAAGCGCUUUAGGAACGAUACGGAAACGGAGGCUUAGAAGUGGAAACUUUACAGAUAUGGAAACUGAGACUUAGAAAAAUGACCCGUCAAAGGCUCAGCUCAUCAUGAAGAAUGUCCAUGUGACUUUGGUUAAUAAAAUGGCCUUGGACAUUUCCUAACAGAAACAGGCCAUCAGUGCUUUUUAUGGACAGCAAGCAAGCAGCUUCCCAAAGCAGAAGAGGUAUAACUUUCAGCAUGGUCUUGAGCCAUUUGCAGCCAAAGAGACAACUUGCAGAGGGUGACUGGUCAUCUGCAAGGCUGACCCAGCUUGACUCUUAUCAACAACAAGCACUCCUCUUUAUGAAAUCUUGAGGGUGUCUGGGACCUAGAUGCUGCCAGAUGUUCAGGCCUUUGUCUUCUGUAUUUUUGCAGUCAUAGCAACUUUCCUCUUCUUACCUCCUAGAAUACCGCUGUGGAUACCAAUUAUUGGGAUGUGAUCAAUAUCUACUGAGUGAUAGUCAGUAGAUAUUGUAAUUUUUUUUGUUAACUUUCCACACAUUUACAUCUUCCUAGUUAGACUGUGGGCAGAACUAUCUAAAACAUCUUCUUACCCUUCGUGGUGACAAAUAAAUGACAUGCAGCUAUGUAUGUAUGCAUACACACAGCGUGUGCGACACUGUUCAAAAGCUCUUGAUCAUAAAGGUAAUAUAUCUUCAUGUUUAACAAAGUUAAAACAGUGCAAAAGGAAAAUGAAAGUUAAAUUUUCUCAAUUAUUUUGAGUCUCCCAACCCAUUCCUUUCAUUCCUUACCCUCUCACUGUCUGUUCCCACUCCACAGAAGGAACAAUAAUUAUUUAUGUGGGUCUUUCAAGAAAUUUUCUAUGCAUAUAAUAACAUAUAUAUUAUAAAAUAUAUUUUAACACAAAUGAGAUUAUGUUAUGUAUACAGUCCUGAAACUUGAUAAUUUUAUUUGUUUUUUUGUUUUUUUGUUUUGAGACAGAGUCUUGCUCUACCACCCAGGCUGGAGUACGGUGGUGUGAUCUCUGCUCACUGAAACCUCUGCCUCCCUGGUUCAAGAGAUUCUCAUGCCUCAGCCUCCCAAGUAGCUGGGAUUACAGGCACGUGCCAUCAUGCCCUACUAAUUUUUUGUAUUUUUAGUAGAAAUGGGGUUUCACCAUGUUGACCAGGAUGGUUUUGAACUCCUGACAUCAGGUGAUCCGCCUGCCUUGGCCUCCCAAAGUGCUAGGAUUACAGGCGUGAGCCACUGCACCCGGCCUUCUUGUUAUAUUCUUAACAUCUUUCUGUAGUUGUAAAUUCCUGUUUUAACAGCUGGGUAGUAGUCCAUUGUAUAAAUCUGUUUUAUUAACCAGUCAUCUACUGAUGGGCAUUUACAUUCUGUCGAGGGUUUUUUUUCUAUUACAAUUAAUGUUACAAUGAAAGUCAUUGUGAAACCAUCUUUAAUCACUUAUGUGAGUAUAUUCAUAAAUAAAUUCAUUGAAGUGGAGCUGCUGCGUUAACAAGUAUAUGCAUUUAACAUUUUGAUAAGUAAAGCCACAUUUACUUCCAUGAAAGUUAGGCCAAACUAUACUAAUAUAAACAG